GCCUUCGUGGUGUAGUGGUCAGCACGCUCGACGCGUAACCGAGAGGUCCGUGGUUCGAGUCCCGUCGAAGGCG
This 73-nucleotide transfer RNA is filed under the name Stegodyphus mimosarum. It matches the Rfam family "tRNA". Rfam says of the family: Transfer RNA (tRNA) molecules are approximately 80 nucleotides in length. Lineage: Eukaryota; Metazoa; Arthropoda; Arachnida; Araneae; Eresidae. The record is from Rfam by way of RNAcentral.